RNAcentral lists this ribosomal RNA (511 nucleotides) under uncultured bacterium. RNAcentral's name for it is "bacterial SSU rRNA". It matches the Rfam family "Bacterial small subunit ribosomal RNA", at positions 28 to 532 of the family's 1533-position model. The record is from RNAcentral.
GACGAACGCUGGCGGCGUGCCUAACACAUGCAAGUCGAGCGGAGUCGAUCGACGGAAGCCUUCGAGCGGAAGAUGGUUGACUUAGCGGCGGAUGGGUGAGUAACGCGUGGGCAACCUGCCUCGAAGACCGGGAUAACAGCCCGAAAGGGCUGCUAAUACCGGAUGUGGUCAAGGAUCCGCAUGGAUUUUUGAUUAAAGGGGAAACCCGUUUCGAGAUGGGCCCGCGUCCUAUCAGCUAGUUGGUGAGGUAAAAGCUCACCAAGGCGACGACGGGUAGCCGGCCUGAGAGGGUGACCGGCCACACUGGAACUGAGACACGGUCCAGACUCCUACGGGGGGCAGCAGUGGGGAAUCUUCCACAAUGGGCGAAAGCCUGAUGGAGCGACGCCGCGUGAGCGAAGAAGGCCUUCGGGUUGUAAAGCUCUGUCUGGAGGGACGAAGGAAGUGACGGUACCUCCGGAGGAAGCCACGGCUAACUACGUGCCAGCAGCCGCGGUAAAAGUACUACUAU